ACACUGAAAUAGAGAUAUACGCACAGAUACACAGACACGUUACAAGGUGACCCUGUCCAGCAUUCACUCAAUACAAUGGCCAAGGUCUUGCUGAGUUCAUUCAAGGCAAGGACAAACCACAACUGAGGACAACCUUCCAAAGAGGUUCCUCUCUGUGCCUACAGGGCUGAACUCAUGCUGGACAAAGUAAUCUGAGUUUUAGCUUCCCAGUUCCCUGGAACCCUUCUGUUUCUUUUUCUCUGUUACAAAUGUAUUAUGAUCAUUUGGCUCAUUAAUUUUUAGCUUUUCACCAAAUCAUAGUUUGGAAAAUGCAAGAGGAAGAAACGUGGUCAUGGAUACCUUCAGAUGUUUAUCAGGCCAUCUGUUAAAGAGCAUCCAAAGCACACAUUUCACAUCGGAGCCUCCGUAGUCCUGCCUAACCAUAUGUUUGUCUUUUUGACAUUACAAUCAGAAGACAAAAUAAACAGAGAUGAGAUGCCACAGCGAAUUUCCAGCCUGAUUAACAGAGGAUUAACCCCGUUAUCACUCUGAUUUGCUAACUUUACACAGCAGGUGGGGUGAGAAAACCAUGGAGCAACCCUCCUUCCUUGGGGUUAUGGGGCAGAGAGAACUCAGAUUGUGCAUGAGAGCAGCAGCCAGCCCAGGGAAGGGCAGGGACCACUUCAGAUGACAGGGUGGACACAGCACCCAAAGUGACAGGCAACAGAGGAAGCUUUGUAAGCAAAAAAAGGGAGGGAAAUAAACAGGGGAAAGAGGUUUGUAGCAUGUAGAAAAAGGCCAGCAUCUUUUCUGCUCAUCAAAGCCUGGGCUCCAUGUCUUGGGGAGGUGAGCUCCUGUCCCUCCAAGCAGGUCAGCACAGAGCUUUCCUGGCACUAGACGGAUGCAGACGAGCUCAUGGUGGAAAACAAAGCAGAAUCAAUAGAGAAAGGACAUAACUUGUCUCUCAGAUCGGCUGUCCCAUUUUACAAGACCAAAUCUAAAGCCACACAAGUAAUUCCAGGUGAUCCCAAGCCUCCACCACACUAACCCCAUCACCUCCUCACUUCCUCCCACCAUGGGCAGCAGCUCCCUGAGUGCUGUCUGGGCAGAAAUCAGCAUGGCUACAGCAGCACCGGAGUCAGAGAGCAGCAUCACUGACAGUGCACGGGCAAGACCCUGAUGGCUGUGGGGCAUUUGGGAUGUGCCCUGACCUUGCAAAGCAAUGCUUGUCUUGCACAGCACGUUCCAUGAGCUGUGCUAGCAUCCCUUCUCUAACUUAAAAUAGAUGAAGACGCAAGAGUGAAAAAGCUGUUUCUAUUCUGUUUGCUGUGAGGAAUUUGUGGUGCAUCAGUUAUGGAAAGAGGGAUAUAGGAAAUCAGCCACUCCCUACACGUAACUACAACAGGAGGAAGAUCCAGCUAUCUCCAGAUCAGAGAUUGUAUGUUUUCUUACAUCGAUGGAAAGUGGCAAAUCCUUUACCAGCUGAAGUGUGGUGCUGGGGUCUGCUACGAGAGACAGCUCAUCCCGAGAAGUCUCCCAAGUGGAACAGUCAUCAGUGACAGAC
RNAcentral lists this long non-coding RNA (1543 nucleotides) under Strigops habroptila (Kakapo). RNAcentral's name for it is "lncRNA (ENSSHBG00005012041.1)". The record is from RNAcentral. Lineage: Eukaryota; Metazoa; Chordata; Aves; Psittaciformes; Psittacidae.